RNAcentral lists this long non-coding RNA (2578 nucleotides) under Homo sapiens (human). RNAcentral's name for it is "HSALNT0344325". Lineage: Eukaryota; Metazoa; Chordata; Mammalia; Primates; Hominidae. The record is from RNAcentral.
GGCUCUUACAUGAACCCCAAAAGGAAGCAGCAUGAUCCUCAUGUUUCCGGUGAGGAGACCAUGAGGAGAUGCAGUCACCUCCUCAGGCCGCCCUGCUAGUUGGCGUUGAGGACAGGCUGCGCACCUCCCCGCUCUGUGGGCAGGUGUGCUCAGCCUUGCCAGGUUGUUACACAGUUUCCAAGACAUUGCAACAUUGUUGCUAUCAAGUAACAGUGAGAUAAAGAGGACUGCCCUGCAAGCUACCACAGCCAGAGGCUGGGUUCCUUCUAAAUGGUGGGGGAGUGAGAAGCCUGUGGGCCAUGGAGCUCUGGGAAGCUUCCAGAACAUCAGGCUUGAGCCGCCCUGGCCACAUUCAUGUGUUCCACUGCCACGUGUGCCAGUGACUACUGUCGGGAUGUGCCAGGUCUAGGACAUUCCCACCGCUGCGGAAAACUGCGCUGCUUCUCCUGUGGCUGCUUCUGCCACGUGGCCUUGAAGGAAACCCACGCUCCAGGGAGGCUGGGCAUUGCCUGCCCCUGGACCCCAGUCGGAGUCCCCCCUGGUGGCUGCCUGGGCCUCAGCCACGGCCCCUGAGCAGCUUCCAGCAUCCCGAAGGCUCUGCCCCAGGUCCGAGGCCAUUCCACGGUCGCUCCCUGCUUCCUCUCCUCCUCCGCUCCCCUUGCUUGUGUCCUUGGCAAUGCCCUGCCCCAGUUUCUGCCCCAGAGCCGCUGGCCAGAAAUGGCUGAGGUUCGUAGCUGGAGGAAGUGGGCCUGGGCUGACGAGGUGGCACCACUUUGUCCUGGAACAUCCCGCCCCUUGGCCUGGGUUCCGCUUGGGAAACAGGCGAGGUUCGAAAGGUGAGUUUUUAGAAUUGUCCAAUGGCAAGCUGUGACAGUUGUGUGUACCCUGGAGCUCAUCCCACCGUGGAAAACUCUGGGAAUGUCUGUCUCCACAGUCCUCGGCAAGCGGCCCCAAUAGUGGCAUUGUUUCAAGCUUUUGGAAUAUUGUUUUUGGGAAAUAAAGUGACUCCUGCUCAUUUAGCUGUGCCAACUCACUUGUUUGUCUUAUUCUUUUUGCUCAGCAGGUGGCAUUUUUGUUCAGUGAUUUUAUUUGUAUCCGCCCGUGUUCAUCAACUAUGACAUAUUAAUCAUGCAAAUUAGGAUAUGAUUAAUGAAGGAAAAAUUAAUUCCGCCACUGCAUCUGGGUCUGCUGUGACAGCUUAGUGAAUGCCCUCAUUCUCUGAUGCCAUCAGCAACUUCUCCAGGGCCGCUGCCGAUUGAUAUAUUAAUGUUUAGGGUAAAGGUUAGGGACCGAAGCCCAGAGAGACUUUCCUCUCCAGGGCUGGUGUUACAAGCACAUAUUUGCCUGACAGUGCACAUUUUUGAGACAGCGUGUUGCUAAACCCCGUCCUCCUUCCCACUGUGUGAACAGUUUGUAGGAGGAGGGAGUUCGCUCUGUCUUUCGGUGUCUUCUAGACUGAAGCCCACUGUGUCCAGGGCAAGCUCCCCGACCAACUCUGACUCUUGCUGUUUCCAAGGUCCCAGCUUCUUGUUUUCCAGAUGCUAUUUGCAGACCACGCAGUGACCCAUUCGUCCUUGGUAAGUGCUCCUUCUCCUCAGGACUCUGCUCUGGAAACAUGAGCUAGGGCUGCAAUAAGUUUAUCUUCAUGAUACAGAGUCCUGCAGAUAAUUUAAAUGAGUGCCCCACAUCAUUUUCUCCCAUUGCCCUCUGGUUAACCCUGAUUUCCACCCCGCACCCGGAGCUGAGCCGUGAUCUGCUUAUUCCUAUCUGCUUUCACUCAUGUGCUCCGGUAAGUCAGGUCCACAAACAGAAUGUUUUCUUGGAACUUGGAUAACCUUGCCCUGUGCACCAUGGGAACACCCCCUGGGAGAGAUUGUGCCAUUCCGGAGACUCCCUAGGUCACACUACCUCUGUCAGAGGACUUGGCUGGACCUGAGAGAGCGAGUGGGCAGUGGAGUACUGCUGGGUUAGGGUCUCCCUGACCUAGCUGGUCUCAGCAAGUGGCGUCCAUCGUGGGGACUCAAAUCCAGGUCGAAGGGUUGCCAGAACAAUGGUUGGAGUGGAAAACUAGCUGGAGGACACUCGAGUACUCUUAAAGCAAUCCCUGUGGCCAAAAUCAACAGCCGAUUUGGAUACCAUCAAGACACCUGAAACCUUAUCAUGAGCCAGAUGCAGAGGAAGAGAUUCCAGGAGGAUCCCGAGGACCCCCGGUUGCAGCCAUGUCAAGACUGACGCUGCGGAGGACCCCAACUGUCACGAGCAACACCCAUCGAACACAGCCACCCACCUGGGGACAGAACAGGAAGCUGUCACAGAUGGCGGAAGAAAACCUGAGGAAAGCGGGACAACCAGUCACAAUGAAUAAUUUAAUGAUAGCUCUGAUAGCGGUUAUCACCACCGCCUCUGCAGAUGUGGAUCCUGACUCCUGCAAGAAGUAGCUCACCGUGACAAAGCUGCCUUUGCUUUUAUCGAUUUGCAAAUCAGAGAAGGGGGACAUAUUGGGAGCAGGCCCCCCAAAAUCUGGCCAUAAACUGGCCCCAAAACUGGACUGGCCAUAAACUGGCCCCAAAACUGGACU